GGAUGCGAUCAUACCAGCACUAUAGCACCGGAUCCCAUCAGAACUCCGAAGUUAUGCGUGCUUGGGCGAGAGUAGUACUAGGAUGGGUGACCUCCUGGGAAGUCCUCGUGUUGCAUUCCC
Molecule: ribosomal RNA, 120 nt
Filed under: Triticum turgidum subsp. dicoccum
Lineage: Eukaryota; Viridiplantae; Streptophyta; Magnoliopsida; Poales; Poaceae
Source: RNAcentral